AGAAGUCGAGAUUUAUAGACCGGGAAAUAUUGGCCUUUUUUUGAAGUCUUUGCUCCAUUAUCGUUACACGACAACGAGCAAAUAGGGGCAGCUAUAAUGCCUAAUUUUAUCCCGGGCCCAAAAGCCACAAACAGAAAAAAUAAACAUAAAUAAAUAAAACAAAACAAAAUAAAAAUCAAACGAACCCAAAAUAAAAAUAAAGUUCAGUCCAGAAUUACAUAAACCCAAUAACCCAAACUAAAACCCAAAUCAGCCCAAAUGCAACAAAAACCCUAGUGGCCCAACAGUCCAAAAAACUAAACAUUUUCAGCAGCAAAAAGGGAGGGAAAACCCUAGCUGUCGUUGCCCUAAUUGCCACCGC
Molecule: long non-coding RNA, 361 nt
Filed under: Gossypium raimondii (Peruvian cotton)
Lineage: Eukaryota; Viridiplantae; Streptophyta; Magnoliopsida; Malvales; Malvaceae
Description: long non-coding RNA (GRAI_LNC008137)
Source: RNAcentral